UUAAUCACAUAAAUGUUUUCCCUAGUCCUGCACAUGUCUGCUUGACAGCACUGCCUCAAGAGCCCUGGAGUUUUCCAGCCAGCUGGGCUCGGAGCAAGGACAGUGGAUACUUGACAGUGCACACUGAGAGUGGCCUUCCCAGCCUCUUCAGUCAGUCCCAAACAAGAUUUGAAUACAAGCUGCUGUGGUUUUAAUUAGGUAAGCAGGGUCUGGAUAGCUUGCACGUGAUACCCAUAUAAAACAUCUUAUUUUCUCAUUCUCAGCAGUGAUUCCAACAAAGCUGCUUUGCUGUGGGAGAAAAGGGAAAUUCUUCAUGUCACCAAAACAUCCCAGGAUCCAAAGAUGAGGGAGAACCUAUUGCAAUACCAGCUCAGAUGUUUUUGGAGUGAAGUUCAGCUGAAUGGGAGCCCAGACAGCUUCAGUGGAGCCAGGUGACAACCAAGACAUACCCACAAACUGGGAAUUCCAGAGCACCCUUCAAACAUUACAGGCUCAG
This 496-nucleotide long non-coding RNA is filed under the name Parus major (Great Tit). Its description in RNAcentral is "lncRNA (ENSPMJG00000004525.1)". Lineage: Eukaryota; Metazoa; Chordata; Aves; Passeriformes; Paridae. The record is from RNAcentral.